Molecule: ribosomal RNA, 397 nt
Filed under: uncultured bacterium
Lineage: Bacteria
Description: bacterial SSU rRNA
Rfam family: Bacterial small subunit ribosomal RNA
Source: RNAcentral
AGCGAACGUUUGCGGCGGGCUUAACACAUGCAAGUCGAACGGGCUGUUCCUUCGGGGGCAGUCAGUGGCGCACGGGUGCGUAACACGUAGGUAAUCAACCCUCUGGUUGGGGAUAACACUUCGAAAGGAGUGCUAAUACCCGGUAUGGCGCAGCGGUCUUCGGAUCGCGGCGAGAAAGACCCGCAAGGGUUGCCAGAGGACGAGCCUGCGGCCCAUCAGCUAGUUGGCGAGGUAACGGCUCACCAAGGCGAAGACGGGUAGCUGGUCUGAGAGGAUGAUCAGCCACACUGGAACUGAGACACGGUCCAGACUCCUACGGGAGGCAGCAGUGGGGAAUAUUGCGCAAUGGGCGAAAGCCUGACGCAGCCACGCCGCGUGAGCGAUGAAGGCCUCGUGU